ACGAAAGCGUGGGGAGCGAACAGGAUUAGAUACCCUGGUAGUCCACGCCGUAAACGAUGCUAACUCGUUUUUGGAGCGCAAGCUUCACAGACUAAGCGAAAGUGAUAAGUUAGCCACCUGGGGAGUACGAACGCAAGUUUGAAACUCAAAGGAAUUGACGGGGGCCCGCACAAGCGGUGGAUUAUGUGGUUUAAUUCGAUGAUACGCGAGGAACCUUACCAAGGCUUAAAUGGGAAAUGACAGGUUUAGAAAUAGACUUUUCUUCGGACAUUUUUCAAGGUGCUGCAUGGUUGUCGUCAGCUCGUGCCGUGAGGUGUUAGGUUAAGUCCUGCAACGAGCGCAACCCCUGUCACUAGUUGCCAUCAUUAAGUUGGGGACUCUAGUGAGACUGCCUACGCAAGUAGAGAGGAAAGUGGGGAUGACAUCAAAUCAUCACGGCCCUUACGCCUUGGGCCACACACGUAAUACAAUGGCCGGUACAGAGGGCAGCUACACUGCGAAGUGAUGCAAAUCUCGAAAGCCGGUCUCAGUUCGGAUUGGAGUCUGCAACUCGACUCUAUGAAGCUGGAAUCGCUAGUAAUCGCGCAUCAUC
This 592-nucleotide ribosomal RNA is filed under the name Chryseobacterium sp. Its description in RNAcentral is "bacterial SSU rRNA". It matches the Rfam family "Bacterial small subunit ribosomal RNA", at positions 753 to 1353 of the family's 1533-position model. The record is from RNAcentral. Lineage: Bacteria; Pseudomonadati; Bacteroidota; Flavobacteriia; Flavobacteriales; Weeksellaceae.